RNAcentral lists this long non-coding RNA (1360 nucleotides) under Heterocephalus glaber (naked mole-rat). RNAcentral describes it as "lncRNA (ENSHGLG00000029823.2)". The record is from RNAcentral. Lineage: Eukaryota; Metazoa; Chordata; Mammalia; Rodentia; Bathyergidae.
CCCAGUACCGAAAAUAAAAUAAAUAAAUAAAAUAAUUACUGUUUGAGGACCAGCUUGCAAAAUUCUUGAAUAUUUAACCCCCAGGAUCAAGGAUGAGCUAGUCCUAGCCCUUCACUGUAAGUAAUACUGUAUCAAAUCUGCCCCUGACCCAAGGGUUUUGGUUUUCCAUCUUCAUGGAAAACUCUUCUCAAAUCCUUGUGGGAACAUUCUUUCACCUCCUUUAAAAACUGUUCUAUUAGGUACUCUGAUUUUUGUUUGUUUGUUUGUUUUUAGCCUCACUAAGUAGUGGCCUCAAAAUCACAGUGAUCCUCUUGCCUUGGCCACUGGAGUGCUGGGGUUGCAGGGAUCGAACUCGGGACCUUGCGCUUGUGAGGCAGGCACUUGAACCACUAAGCUAAAUCCCCGACCCCAUGACUGUAUUUCUUUGGAGAAAGAUGAUUGGCUGCAGAGGAGAAUUGAGUACAAGAAUGGAGAGAGAUAAGAGAUGAGAGAAUAAUUAGCAGGUGCCAUGAACUGUUUCUCCUCUGCGACAUCCCUCUGCCAUGUGCCACUCUGUCUUGGAGCCAGCUGAUUAUGGACUGAAACCUCUACAAACUGGUCUCAUUAUGUAGUUCAGGCUGGCCUUGAACUUGUACCCUAGGCUGACCUUGAACUUGCAGCAAUCCUCCUGCCUCAGCCUGCCUAGUGCUGGGAUUACAGUCUCUUCCCAACAGGAUCUACAUUCUACGACAGUAGACUUCCGUCUGUUUUGCUCACUGUAUCCUGUGUAUAGCACAGUGCCUGGCUCAGAGUAGAUUCGACAAAUAUUUGUUGAAGGAAUGAAUGAAUAUAUGAGUGAAAAGCCACUCAGCUGAUAAAUGGUGGAGGGAUACAUGCCAAACUAUUUAUAGAAGAUGUGACAAGGAAUCUGAGAUUUUCCUCAACAUAAUGCUGGAAGUGAGGAGUGAAUGGAGGAAUGGCAAACCAGCUUCUAGAAAGACCUGCAACAACCCUUGUCACCCAUGGUGGACUUGGCACCAGGAUGACCAGCUCUGGGGACAGCACCUUGGUGUCAGCCAACAUUACUCCUGGCCCAGUGGUACUCACAGUACCGGCAGCUCCUGAGAACUUGGAACUUUGGGGUUGGCAGGCACACUAUAGGCCCCAGUUCCACAUCGAGAAUCCAGAAAACCUGCAUUCUUAUUAAUCUGCCUUUCUUCACAUGUCUUCUUUGAAGAAUUCCCGUGUGUGUGUGUGUUUGCCAUAUAUGAGACAGAUUUUACACAAAUUUUCUGUCUCAGGGAAGAGGACCUGAAUCGGCCACUUUUACCAUAAUCUGUGAAAAUAAACUACAAGAGAGUUCAAUGAACAGACAUCAUAC